RNAcentral lists this transfer RNA (65 nucleotides) under Rhinebothrium fulbrighti. RNAcentral describes it as "tRNA-Pro". The record is from RNAcentral. Lineage: Eukaryota; Metazoa; Platyhelminthes; Cestoda; Rhinebothriidea; Rhinebothriidae.
CUUGCUUUAGUUUAAGAUUAGAAUGGUAGUUUUGGGGAUUAUUGGUUUCUUUGAGGAAAGCUUGG